AACAAGUGACCGUUCUGAGGAAGGCAACAGGUUAUAGCCGAAACAUGUCAUGGUAAAAGAAUUAACUUUUUCCAUCUGUCUGACAAAUAAGAAAAGGAAAUCUGUAUAAACACAGUGUCUCCAUCCACUGUCACUGAUCCAACUCCA
This is a long non-coding RNA of Sphaeramia orbicularis (orbiculate cardinalfish), 147 nucleotides long. RefSeq lists it as uncharacterized. The transcript is spliced from 3 exons. NCBI's taxonomy places the organism in Eukaryota, Metazoa, Chordata, Actinopteri, Kurtiformes, Apogonidae. The record is from RefSeq and is a predicted model, not a curated record.